Molecule: ribosomal RNA, 950 nt
Filed under: uncultured Lactobacillus sp.
Lineage: Bacteria; Bacillati; Bacillota; Bacilli; Lactobacillales; Lactobacillaceae
Description: bacterial SSU rRNA
Rfam family: Bacterial small subunit ribosomal RNA
Source: RNAcentral
CCUUAGAGUUUGAUCCUGGCUCAGGACGAACGCUGGCGGCAUGCCUAAUACAUGAAGUCGAACGAGUUCCCGUUGAUUGACGUGCUUGCACUGAUUUCAACAUUGGAACGAGUGGCGAACUGGUGAGUAACACGUGGAAAACCUGCCCAGAAGCAGGGGAUAACACUUGGAAACAGGUGCUAAUACCGUAUAACAACAAAAACCGCAUGGUUUUUGUUUGAAAGGUGGCUUCGGCUAUCACUUCUGGAUGGUUCCGCGGCGCAUUAGCUUGUUGGUGGGGUAACGGCUCACCAAGGCGAUGAUGCGUAGCCGACCUGAGAGGGUAAUCGGCCACAUUGGGACUGAGACACGGCCCAGACUCCUACGGGAGGCAGCAGUAGGGAAUCUUCCACAAUGGACGCAAGUCUGAUGGAGCAAUGCCGCGUGAGUGAAGAAGGGUUUCGGCUCGUAAAACUCUGUUGUUGAAGAAGAACGGGUGUCAGAGUAACUGUUGACAUCGUGACGGUAUUCAACCAGAAAGCCACGGCUAACUACGUGCCAGCAGCCGCGGUAAUACGUAGGUGGCAAGCGUUGUCCGGAUUUAUUGGGCGUAAAGCGAGCGCAGGCGGUUUCUUAAGUCUGAUGUGAAAGCCUUCGGCUUAACCGAAGAAGUGCAUCGGAAACUGGGGAACUUGAGUGCAGAAGAGGACAGUGGAACUCCAUGUGUAGCGGUGGAAUGCGUAGAUAUAUGGAAGAACACCAGUGGCGAAGGCGGCUGUCUAGUCUGCAACUGACGCUGAGGCUCGAAAGCAUGGGUAGCGAACAGGAUUAGAUACCCUGGUAGUCCAUGCCGUAAACGAUGAGUGCUAAGUGUUGGGAGGUUUCCGCCUCUCAGUGCUGCAGCUAACGCAUUAAGCACUCCGCCUGGGGAGUACGACCGCAAGGUUAAAACUCAAAGGAAUUGACGGGGG